GACGAACGCUGGCGGCGUGCUUAACACAUGCAAGUCGAACGGAAAGGCCCUGCUUUUGUGGGGUGCUCGAGUGGCCAACGGGUGAGUAGCACGUGAGUAACCUGCCCUUGACUUUGGGAUAACUUCAGGAAACUGGGGCUAAUACCGGAUAGGAGCUCCUGCUGCAUGGUGGGGGUUGGAAAGUUUCGGCGGUUGGGGAUGGACUCGCGGCUUAUCAGCUUGUUGGUGGGGUAGUGGCUUACCAAGGCUUUGACGGGUAGCCGGCCUGAGAGGGUGACCGGCCACAUUGGGACUGAGAUACGGCCCAGACUCCUACGGGAGGCAGCAGUGGGGAAUAUUGCACAAUGGGCGGAAGCCUGAUGCAGCAACGCCGCGUGCGGGAUGACGGCCUUCGGGUUGUAAACCGCUUUCGCCUGUGACGAAGCGUGAGUGACGGUAAUGGGUAAAGAAGCACCGGCUAACUACGUG
Molecule: ribosomal RNA, 468 nt
Filed under: uncultured bacterium
Lineage: Bacteria
Description: partial 16S ribosomal RNA
Rfam family: Bacterial small subunit ribosomal RNA
Source: RNAcentral